RNAcentral lists this small nuclear RNA (184 nucleotides) under Fukomys damarensis (Damara mole-rat). Its description in RNAcentral is "7SK RNA". It matches the Rfam family "7SK RNA", at positions 1 to 187 of the family's 331-position model. From Rfam's summary of the family: 7SK was discovered as an abundant small nuclear RNA in the mid-70s but a possible function has only recently been suggested. Two independent studies have found that 7SK RNA binds the CDK9/cyclin T complex (known as elongation factor P-TEFb). Lineage: Eukaryota; Metazoa; Chordata; Mammalia; Rodentia; Bathyergidae. The record is from Rfam by way of RNAcentral.
GGAUAAGAGGCUGACCUGGCUGCAGCAUCUGUUACCCCAGAUAAUCAGGCUUGAUUCAGUGGGCCGGGCCGGUGAGGCAGCUGUCACCCCUCUUUCCUGGCUGCUCCAUGUGUGCUCUUCCUGAAGCUGCGUGCACAGACACACAGGCAGACCUUUCCAUCAGGGUACAGCUGCCUCCUGCUAG